This 1249-nucleotide long non-coding RNA is filed under the name Vulpes vulpes (red fox). RNAcentral describes it as "lncRNA (ENSVVUG00000011586.1)". Lineage: Eukaryota; Metazoa; Chordata; Mammalia; Carnivora; Canidae. The record is from RNAcentral.
CAAAUAAUUAUGAUUAUACAAAUUCUAUUUUGCCCUCAGGUCAGAAGAAACUAUUUCCUACUUAUUCUUUCCUUUCCCUGAAAAUAAUCUUGGCCAAAGGAAUAAUCUUGGCAAAAGGAAAAAAUCUUGGCCAAUGGAAGACUCUCCUCAGCAAUCUGUAUCUCAGAAGGACCAGAUGAGAAAACUAACCAGUAUCCGUCAUCAUUGUCUCUGGGCCAAUGGAAGCAAGCGCCUGAAUGAGUCAGCUCCCAUCAGCCCUAACUGGGACAAUUCUUCAGAAAGACAGGCAGCUGCAUACUUACAUCACCUAGGAGAUGGAAGCCACCAGCCCAGCAAAGAGAUCUGAAGAAGUGAGUCAUCACAAAGACUAUUACAGUCCAUGGCUUGCACUUGCUUUUCACAUUAAGUUCACUUUAACAGUUAUAUUGUCUUUAGAGUAUUGCAAUUGUGACUUGUGGAAAAACUUAUGAGGGAUGUGUUAUUGGAAUGAAUAGAGUCCGUACUGCUGUAGUUGCUCUCCAAAACAAAACUGAUUUUUUCUAGCAUUCCAGAACCCUAGGACAGCAGUUUUGUAAUCUAACGGCUUGCCUUGUGAGGUGGCCCAGAUUCUCAUCCCUGAGAAGGCUGAACUCCUGGUUAUGAUGGCCUCAUCAAUGCCAUGAUUGGUUUGCAUGCCUAUAUACAACUAAAAUGGGAAAUGACGAUAUCCAAAAAUGUCCCAGUGGUUUAUCUUCAUACCAGACAUUUUUUAAAAAAUAUUUUAUUUAUCCGUUCAUGAGAGAAAGAGAGGCAGACACAUAGACAGAAGGAUAAGCAGGCUCCCCACAGGGAACCCUAUGCAGAAUUUGAUCCCUGGACCCUGAGAUCAUGCCCUGAGCCAAAGGCAGCUGCUCAAGCACUGAGCCACCCAGGCAUCCCUGUACCAGCCAUUCUAUCCAGCCCCCAUACAUAACAGCAGUCAUACCUCCUCAUGAAGAUCAGGAUCAAUUACAACUUCCAGUGUAUCCCCUUUCUGUGCCUGCUGCUUCAUAGACACCAGAACCCACAAUCAUCAGAUAGCAGCUUGCAUCUGUAAGUUUAGGCAGACUUCUAUUCUAUCCAUUGGUGGAAGCAUCCUAUCCUCACUAGUAACCAAGAUCUAUAUAUUCACUGAGUCUGUACAUGUAGGGGAACAGGAAAUACAACUUCCUCCAAGUAUUUCACUGGCAAGGAGAAUAAAUAGAGCCAUUUCUAUUUUUAUUCCUUGGUU